Molecule: non-coding RNA, 798 nt
Organism: Bactrocera oleae (olive fruit fly)
Lineage: Eukaryota; Metazoa; Arthropoda; Insecta; Diptera; Tephritidae
Source: RefSeq, a predicted model, not a curated record
CAAAUUUUUUCAUGCGCUCAAUGCUUGUUGGCUACUUUUGCUGGUUCUUGUUUGCAGCAUCAGCGAAAGUUUGCGCUAAAAUUGCUAAAUAUUUAUAUACUUGUAUGUAUUUAUGUGAAAUGACAUGUUUAACUUUUUUGCUGGAACUUGUAUUGCCCUAAAGCCUUGGCAUCAACACCAUACGUAAUUAAAACAUACGUCGAGCAUUAAUUGGUAGCUCUCCAAAGGCGGGUAUAAAAUCAAUUUUUCAAGCAUAUUAAGUUUGUAUGUAGCUAGUUUGCAGCGAAUAUAAAGACGCUAUAAUUCCCCAGUGUUCAAAAACAUUACUUGAGUAGAUUGCCUCAAUCAAUUUAAUUAAUUUGAAUUUGUAUUAAAUUUCAUAUGCGGACAAUGAGCGGGCAAUGUCAAGGUUCAAAGAGUUAUCGUAACCUGGUGAUAAAUUCAACAAAAAUAGUGUUAUGAUUUUCUAAUGUAUGUGGCUCGCGACGCAGGAAGAAAAUAUUUAGACUUCAUUUCAACUACAAAAACUCCUUAGAGAUUCUAAAACUGUUCUGUUGAGAAAUAAGUUAAAGAUAAAGCUGUGGCUUUAAAUACAACUGCCUUGCAUUAUCAUGUUACCACUACAAAGAGGGAUUGCGGCUUCGCAAGCGAUCCACCCAAUUUUCUUUAACUUAGAAUAUGUAUUAAGCACAACGGUAGGUAUCCUGUCUCAACCGGCUGGAAGCUGGCCAUUUCCGAAGUCAAAGUUCUAAUGUUUUCUCAGUCUCAGCACAUGUCCGACAUUAUGUCUAUUCUUCC